Molecule: ribosomal RNA, 266 nt
Filed under: uncultured Atopobium sp.
Lineage: Bacteria; Bacillati; Actinomycetota; Coriobacteriia; Coriobacteriales; Atopobiaceae
Description: partial 16S ribosomal RNA
Rfam family: Bacterial small subunit ribosomal RNA
Source: RNAcentral
UAUAAAGUGGCGAACGGCUGAGUAACACGUGGGCAACCUGCCCUUUGCACUGGGAUAGCCUCGGGAAACCGAGGUUAAUACCGGAUACUCCAUAUUUGUCGCAUGGCGAAUAUGGGAAAGCUCCGGCGGCAAAGGAUGGGCCCGCGGCCUGUUAGCUAGUUGGUGGGGUAGUGGCCUACCAAGGCAAUGAUGGGUAGCCGGGUUGAGAGACCGACCGGCCAGAUUGGGACUGAGACACGGCCCAGACUCCUACGGGAGGCAGCACA